Molecule: ribosomal RNA, 254 nt
Filed under: uncultured bacterium
Lineage: Bacteria
Description: partial 16S ribosomal RNA
Rfam family: Bacterial small subunit ribosomal RNA
Source: RNAcentral
UACGGAGGGUGCGAGCGUUGUCCGGAAUCAUUGGGCGUAAAGGGCGCGUAGGUGGCCCGGUCAGUUCGUGGUGAAAGCGCGGGGCUCAACCCUGCGUCGGCCAUGAAUACUGCCGCGGCUGGAGCACUGUAGAGGCAGGCGGAAUUCCGGGUGUAGCGGUGGAAUGCGCAGAUAUCAGGAAGAACACCCGUGGCUAAGGCGGCUCUCUAGUACGGUACUGACGCUGAGACGCGAAAGCGUGGGGAGCGAACAGG